AAGGCUAAAUACUCCUGACUGACCGAUAGUGAACCAGUACCGUGAGGGAAAGGCGAAAAGAACCCCGGCGAGGGGAGUGAAAAAGAACCUGAAACCGUGUACGUACAAGCAGUGGGAGCCUCUUUUAUGGGGUGACUGCGUACCUUUUGUAUAAUGGGUCAGCGACUUAUAUUCUGUAGCAAGGUUAACCGAAUAGGGGAGCCGAAGGGAAACCGAGUCUUAACCGGGCGUUAAGUUGCAGGGUAUAGACCCGAAACCCGGUGAUCUAGCCAUGGGCAGGUUGAAGGUUGGGUAACACUAACUGGAGGACCGAACCGACUAAUGUUGAAAAAUUAGCGGAUGACUUGUGGCUGGGGGUGAAAGGCCAAUCAAACCGGGAGAUAGCUGGUUCUCCCCGAAAGCUAUUUAGGUAGCGCCUCGUGAAUUCAUCUCCGGGGGUAGAGCACUGUUUCGGCAAGGGGGUCAUCCCGACUUACCAACCCGAUGCAAACUGCGAAUACCGGAGAAUGUUAUCACGGGAGACACACGGCGGGUGCUAACGUCCGUCGUGAAGAGGGAAACAACCCAGACCGCCAGCUAAGGUCCCAAAGUCAUGGUUAAGUGGGAAACGAUGUGGGAAGGCCCAGACAGCCAGGAUGUUGGCUUAGAAGCAGCCAUCAUUUAAAGAAAGCGUAAUAGCUCACUGGUCGAGUCGGCCUGCGCGGAAGAUGUAACGGGGCUAAACCAUGCACCGAAGCUGCGGCAGCGACACUGUGUGUUGUUGGGUAGGGGAGCGU
This 776-nucleotide ribosomal RNA is filed under the name Escherichia coli. RNAcentral's name for it is "partial 23S ribosomal RNA". It matches the Rfam family "Bacterial large subunit ribosomal RNA", at positions 462 to 1239 of the family's 2925-position model. Lineage: Bacteria; Pseudomonadati; Pseudomonadota; Gammaproteobacteria; Enterobacterales; Enterobacteriaceae. The record is from RNAcentral.